Long non-coding RNA from Acanthopagrus latus (yellowfin seabream), 506 nucleotides. RefSeq lists it as uncharacterized. NCBI's taxonomy places the organism in Eukaryota, Metazoa, Chordata, Actinopteri, Spariformes, Sparidae. The record is from RefSeq and is a predicted model, not a curated record. The transcript has 4 exons.
GCGCCGUCCGCGCUGCGCCCGGAGAGUCGGCGGCAUGAGGCGGCGUUAGGAGCGAACACCAGCGGACCGAGGAGACAGAAGAAGGGAAUACAACAGUCUGACUUCACAGGGACCAGGGACGACCUCCAAGGGAGCCUGGGUGCAACAGUGGAACCUCCUCCUUGAGAGCUUUUCUCCUCUGGAUGUUAUGGCUGAAAUGCUGGGCUGGAUCAGGAUGACAUAUAAAGCACAGAGCUGGAGCGAUGAUCGUCUUUUGUGAAGCGGUACAGAAACAGAUCGUCUGUGUUGAUGCAGUUUGACCCCGUGAAGCUUCGGGGUCAUUCAGAUCAGAGAUAUGCACACAGACAGUGUUUUCCCUUUAAAGCAGUGGACCAUCUGUGUCCUUGUGUGCUGUGCUUCCCUUCUGAAGACAGAAGAGAAAGCGAGGCUCACCAGUGAGGCGGGAUCACAGCCGACUGCUGCAGACUGUGAAGCCUCGGUCUCAGGUAUACGAGUCACAGAGGAAC